This 460-nucleotide ribosomal RNA is filed under the name uncultured bacterium. RNAcentral describes it as "partial 16S ribosomal RNA". It matches the Rfam family "Bacterial small subunit ribosomal RNA", at positions 338 to 795 of the family's 1533-position model. The record is from RNAcentral.
CCUACGAGUGGCAGCAGUGAGGAAUAUUGGUCAAUGGACGAGAGUCUGAACCAGCCAAGUAGCGUGAAGGAUGACUGCCCUAUGGGUUGUAAACUUCUUUUAUAUGGGAAUAAAACAGGGUACGCAUACCCUCUUGUAUGUACCCUAUGAAUAAGGAUCGGCUAACUCCGUGCCAUCAGCCGCGGUAAUCCGGAGGAUCCGAGCGUUAUCCGGAUUUAUUGGGUUUAAAGGGAGCGUAGGUGGGUUGUUAAGUCAGUUGUGAAAGUUUGCGGCUCAACCGUAGAAUUGCAGUUGAAACUGGCAGUCUAGAGUACAGUAGAGGUGGGCGGAAUUCGUGGUGUAGCGGUGAAAUGCUUAGAUAUCACGAAGAACACCGAUUGCGAAGGCAGCUCACUGGACUGCAACUGACACUGAUGCACGAAAGUGUGGGUAUCAAACAGGAUUAGAUACCCUUGUAGUC